GUCGAGGGGUAUGCUUCUUCGGGAGCAGAGACCGGCGCACGGGUGCGUAACGCGUAUGCAAUCUACCUUUUACAGAGGGAUAGCCCAGAGAAAUUUGGAUUAAUACCUCAUAGUAUAAUAGCUCGGCAUCGAGCAAUUAUUAAAGUCACAACGGUAAAAGAUGAGCAUGCGUCCCAUUAGCUAGUUGGUAAGGUAACGGCUUACCAAGGCUACGAUGGGUAGGGGUCCUGAGAGGGAGAUCCCCCACACUGGUACUGAGACACGGACCAGACUCCUACGGGAGGCAGCAGUGAGGAAUAUUGGACAAUGGGCGCAACCCAGAUCCAGCCAUGCCGCGUGCAGGAUGACGGUCCUAUGGAUUGUAAACUGCUUUUGUACAGGAAGAAACAGUUCUACGUGUAGAACCUUGACGGUACUGUAAGAAUAAGGAUCGGCUAACUCCGUGCCAGCAGCCGCGGUAAUACGGAGGAUCCAAGCGUUAUCCGGAAUCAUUGGGUUUAAAGGGUCCGUAGGCGGUUUAAUAAGUCAGUGGUGAAAGCCCAUCGCUCAACGGUGGAACGGCCAUUGAUACUGUUAAACUUGAAUUAUUAGGAAGUAACUAGAAUAUGUAGUGUAGCGGUGAAAUGCUUAGAGAUUACAUGGAAUACCAAUUGCGAAGGCAGGUUACUACUAAUUGAUUGACGCUGAUGGACGAAAGCGUGGGUAGCGAACAGGAUUAGAUACCCUGGUAGUCCACGCCGUAAACGAUGGAUACUAGCUGUUGGGCGCAAGUUCAGUGGCUAAGCGAAAGUGAUAAGUAUCCCACCUGGGGAGUACGUUCGCAAGAAUGAAACUCAAAGGAAUUGACGGGGGCCCGCACAAGCGGUGGAGCAUGUGGUUUAAUUCGAUGAUACGCGAGGAACCUUACCAAGGCUUAAAUGUAGAUUGACCGUUUUGGAAACAGAACUUUCGCAAGACAAUUUACAAGGUGCUGCAUGGUUGUCGUCAGCUCGUGCCGUGAGGUGUCAGGUUAAGUCCU
RNAcentral lists this ribosomal RNA (1018 nucleotides) under Flavobacterium sp. RNAcentral describes it as "bacterial SSU rRNA". It matches the Rfam family "Bacterial small subunit ribosomal RNA", at positions 61 to 1088 of the family's 1533-position model. Lineage: Bacteria; Pseudomonadati; Bacteroidota; Flavobacteriia; Flavobacteriales; Flavobacteriaceae. The record is from RNAcentral.